UUCGCCCUUAGAGUUUGAUCCUGGCUCAGGAUGAACGCUAGCUACAGGCUUAACACAUGCAAGUCGAGGGGAAACGAUAGAGAAAGCUUGCUUUUUCUAGGCGUCGACCGGCGCACGGGUGAGUAACGCGUAUCCAACCUGCCCAUCACUUGGGGAUAACCUUGCGAAAGUAAGACUAAUACCCAAUGAUAUCUCUAGAAGACAUCUGAAAGAGAUUAAAGAUUCAUCGGUGAUGGAUGGGGAUGCGUCUGAUUAGCUUGUUGGCGGGGUAACGGCCCACCAAGGCGACGAUCAGUAGGGGUUCUGAGAGGAAGGUCCCCCACAUUGGAACUGAGACACGGUCCAAACUCCUACGGGAGGCAGCAGUGAGGAAUAUUGGUCAAUGGGCGAGAGCCUGAACCAGCCAAGUAGCGUGCAGGAUGACGGCCCUAUGGGUUGUAAACUGCUUUUAUAAGGGAAUAAAGUGAGUCUCGUGAGACUUUUUGCAUGUACCUUAUGAAUAAGGACCGGCUAAUUCCGUGCCAGCAGCCGCGGUAAUACGGAAGGUCCGGGCGUUAUCCGGAUUUAUUGGGUUUAAAGGGAGCGUAGGCCGGAGAUUAAGCGUGUUGUGAAAUGUAGAUGCUCAACAUCUGCACUGCAGCGCGAACUGGUUUCCUUGAGUACGCACAAAGUGGGCGGAAUUCGUGGUGUAGCGGUGAAAUGCUUAGAUAUCACGAAGAACUCCGAUUGCGAAGGCAGCUCACUGGAGCGCAACUGACGCUGAAGCUCGAAAGUGCGGGUAUCGAACAGGAUUAGAUACCCUGGUAGUCCGCACGGUAAACGAUGGAUGCCCGCUGUUGGUCUGAAUAGGUCAGCGGCCAAGCGAAAGCAUUAAGCAUCCCACCUGGGGAGUACGCCGGCAACGGUGAAACUCAAAGGAAUUGACGG
Molecule: ribosomal RNA, 927 nt
Filed under: uncultured bacterium
Lineage: Bacteria
Description: bacterial SSU rRNA
Rfam family: Bacterial small subunit ribosomal RNA
Source: RNAcentral